CCUACGGGAGGCAGCAGUGGGGAAUAUUGCACAAUGGGGGAACCCUGAUGCAGCGACGCCGCGUGGAGGAAGAAGGUCUUCGGAUUGUAAACUCCUGUUGUUGAGGAAGAUAAUGACGGUACUCAACAAGGAAGUGACGGCUAACUACGUGCCAGCAGCCGCGGUAAU
RNAcentral lists this ribosomal RNA (168 nucleotides) under uncultured Faecalibacterium sp. Its description in RNAcentral is "partial 16S ribosomal RNA". It matches the Rfam family "Bacterial small subunit ribosomal RNA", at positions 338 to 524 of the family's 1533-position model. Lineage: Bacteria; Bacillati; Bacillota; Clostridia; Eubacteriales; Oscillospiraceae. The record is from RNAcentral.